GUGGGUGUAGCUCAGCUUGGUUAGAGCGCCAGGUUGUGGCCCUGGAGGUCGCCGGUUCAAGUCCGGUCAUCCACCCCU
Molecule: transfer RNA, 78 nt
Filed under: Candidatus Dadabacteria bacterium
Lineage: Bacteria; Pseudomonadati; Thermodesulfobacteriota; Candidatus Dadabacteria
Description: tRNA-His
Rfam family: tRNA
About the family: Transfer RNA (tRNA) molecules are approximately 80 nucleotides in length. Their secondary structure includes four short double-helical elements and three loops (D, anti-codon, and T loops).
Source: RNAcentral